GAGAAUAGAGGUCAUUGUACGUGGCUGUUGAGCGCUUUGCAGGUGUUGAUCUUGCAGUGGGAUCUGUCUGGCCGCAGGACCGUGGUUGCAGACAUUGAUUCCAGCAGAAACUCAGUAAGCAGCGGCGACCUGUGCAAAGCGCUGCUCGGAAUGGACCUCUGCUGAGGAAUCAAGCGUUGAGUAAAAAGAAUGUUUGGGCCAGGUGACGGCAGAAGUCUGGCUGUUUUGGAUGGUGGCAGAAGAUGGAAGCAGGUGUUCUUGGGACUGCUGAGCUUUUGACAUGUUUUUACUCCUACAUGUUGGGCUUGUUUGCUUGUAGAAGGAAGACUGUUACGUGUAGUUUUCACAGCGAGCUUCUGUUAUGAUUUCUUGAUGAUUUUAAUCCAAAAUAUUAGAAGGAGUGUUUCAAGAAAGGACCCUACCAGUGCCGGUAAGUUCCUACUCAGCUCUGCAUGAGGGACCCCGCUGUGGAGGGAAGCGUUCAAGAAGCGUUUAGAUUUAGAUGUAGUGUUGAGAGACGUGGUUUAGUGGGGUUAUUGGUGGUAGGUGGAUGGUUGGACUGGAUGAUCUUGAAGAUCUUUACCAACCUAGCUAGUUCUGUGAUUCUAUGAUUCUAAAUGUAACUAAGGGCAGCUCAGAAUCCUCUCUUGCCAGCUUCACGUGCUGGAUUUUGAGCUUCUGAAGUGUGCUCCAUCUGUCUAAGGUGUUCCCUUCUGCUUGAAAGGAGAAGGGCUGCAAGGUGGUAUUUCUCUUGCGGCUUGCAGCUGUGCUCCUUGGCACAGAGGGCUCUCAGUCUUCCCCAUCAUUUCCACGUGGCAGACCAUUAGGCAGACGUAAUGCGUGUCCCAAAUGCAGCCUUCUAUUCCUCUAGUCUGAGCGACAUUUUAUUUUGAGGAGGAAGGAAAGAAUGUGGUAGAAUCAGAAUGAUAUUUGAGUGCUAACACAGGGUGGUGAGUGAGGGCCCCAGAAGCCAACUUGUUGCUGUGAGAGCAUUGUCCAAUGACAAGGUCGGAGGUAACACCUGCUGGCGGAUGGGGACACUAGUGUUGGCUUUAGGUGAGGAGAAAGUGAAACACGAUGACUGAGCUGACUGCAAAGAGCUUCUGGGGGAGGCUUGGUGCCACCUUUGAAUUUGAUCUGAUGAACUGCUUGUGUGCUGAUGUCCAGGCAGGCUUUGGGGAGCAGACUACAUAGCAGGGUAUGUGGGGUAGGACUGGGGCUUGGACCAGGCCAGGUGGAAUGCAGUGGGCUUUGCUCUCGUUCUUAGUGCUUGUUUUUGCUCAGGAGGGGCAAGGUGGUGAAGCUGGUGAACGAAUGGCUGCAGAUGAGGUUUGCGGAGCAAGAGGUCCUGCAGGUCUUCUGUGACACCCAUGAAGCUGUAGCGAGGUUGCCUCAGUGUAAAACACGAGAAAUGCACAGAGAUCUGCAGGGGAGAUGUGGCAGAAUGUAUCUGACGAAUGAUUUGCGGUGUCAUUCUACCACCCAAAACACUCCUGAUAAUGGCGUAGCUGAGAAAAAGUGUGGUGUCAAUGCGUUUCCUGGACUCAGAUGAAAAGGAUGGCUGCAGAGAUGUUGGCCUUGAGGCAGGAGUUGUUAGCAGCGUUGGAGACUGGCCUGUAAUCUUUGGUGGUGAAAGUGGAUGGUAAGGCUCCGUGCGCUCAGGUGGGAGCAGAGCGAGGCCAGCAGGGAAAGCUUGUGAGCAGUCCCACACCUAGAAUCA
Molecule: long non-coding RNA, 1720 nt
Organism: Numida meleagris (helmeted guineafowl)
Lineage: Eukaryota; Metazoa; Chordata; Aves; Galliformes; Numididae
Exons: 4
Source: RefSeq, a predicted model, not a curated record